CUGCCACAGUUGUCGUGUCUUGUGACCAGUGCUGCUUACUUCUCCAUUUAGGACUCACAGUUUGAUAAGUGAGUAUUUGGAGACUUACAUGGAAUACAGGUUUGUUUUUCACUGAAUUGAUCAAAAGUUGGACAUACUGGUGAGGCUGCCCAGAGCAGGAGAAACAGGAAAGAGCUGCGUUUUUGGAGAGAGGAUCAGAGACGCAGAAAGACAUCGAGAGUGAGUCUAUCUAAACAUCCCAGGAAGAUGAAGAAAAGCAGGAGUGCACAGGGGGUUACACCAGCGACGAGCAUAAGGAUCCUCCUGUGGGCCAAUUUUCCACAGGCAACACACUCGGGGUAGAGGUGUGCAAAGUCCACAGGCGGUUUUCUGGCAACCUACAGCUGCCUCCGUUGUCAUGGCGACAAGCGGAAAAGGAGAGGGACAGAGGCAGGCCGCUAACACCUGAAGAAGAUCCAGUGACCCGGACCAGACC
This is a long non-coding RNA of Etheostoma spectabile (orangethroat darter), 475 nucleotides long. RefSeq lists it as uncharacterized. The transcript is spliced from 3 exons. The record is from RefSeq and is a predicted model, not a curated record. NCBI's taxonomy places the organism in Eukaryota, Metazoa, Chordata, Actinopteri, Perciformes, Percidae.